UACGAAGGGGGCUAGCGUUGCUCGGAAUCACUGGGCGUAAAGCGCACGUAGGCGGCUUGCUAAGUCAGGGGUGAAAUCCUGGAGCUCAACUCCAGAACUGCCUUUGAUACUGGCGAUCUCGAGUCCGGGAGAGGUGAGUGGAACUGCGAGUGUAGAGGUGAAAUUCGUAGAUAUUCGCAAGAACACCAGUGGCGAAGGCGGCUCACUGGCCCGGUACUGACGCUGAGGUGCGAAAGCCAGGGGAGCAAACGGG
This 253-nucleotide ribosomal RNA is filed under the name uncultured bacterium. RNAcentral's name for it is "partial 16S ribosomal RNA". It matches the Rfam family "Bacterial small subunit ribosomal RNA", at positions 524 to 776 of the family's 1533-position model. The record is from RNAcentral.